ACAUAUUACACACAUUAAAAAAAAAACAACUAAUAAUAUGUAUAUGUUAUAUAUUAAACUGUAUAUAGUAUGUUAAUAUAUUGCUGUUUGCGACGAAUUAUUUUAUUAGCUAAUUAAUUAUGUCAAAUUAUUUUAUUAGCUUGAUUAGAGAUCACACGACAAUAAAAAAAAUGACCUGUAAUGAUCUUUAAAAUAGAUAAAUGUUAAAGUGUGACUUCUAAAAGCACAAGUGGUCCAUGUUUGAGUCUCCAAAUACUGUGAUCUUAAAUUGGCUGGAGACAAGUUUCAUCAAAAGCUAACAACUUUCGGUAGCAUAAAGUGGGCGUGUCUAGCGUUAUGCAAAUAUGGAGCAACUUGGUGCAUCGGAUAUCAAUGAAGAUGAAGACUGUAGCUCAUACACUGCUUCUUCUUCCUCUCGUAUCAUCAUCUGGCAACCAGUAGUAGGAAUUUCUACUGGCAACUUCAUAGUACAGCAACUCUGAGUGAUAAAACUGCUUUGUGUGUGAACUCAUUCAUAUGAAGUAUUUAAUAUUGUUUUAACGGUGUAUCUUUCCUUUAAGGUUCCCUUUUCUUUUUUGUGACAUUUUUAGCAAACCCGUAUGAAUAAAAGUAACUUCUAGACAUUUUCGACAAACUCUGUGGUCUAUGGAUGCACUUACCUCGACCAAACCAUUAUACAAAAUAGGGGAACACAAACUUCAGUUGCAAACCAUGAAUAGGCCUACAUUUCUGAACAUUAUCAUUUAAUCAAAUAGACACAUUUUAAACAGGUUUAUCCUGAAUUUCAGUGAAUUAUUAAAACCUUCUGGACCUCUGAACAGGCUUGGGUAUCAAAUCAGCUUCUCUGGUUCCCCUUCCCUAGCUCCAGUAAAACUCUUUCCCAUACAUAGUGUGCCGGGACGAUGAACCUCCCAAUACACAAACACAAUAAAAAUUACGGGGUAUUUAAUGUUGUUGCAAGUCGAAAUCUUUAACAAUUUACUAUUAAUCAUGGAGGCUAUGGUUUACAUGCUCAGGGUUAUUCUACGUCAUCUGCAAAAUUUUGUACAUUGGUUCAUGAAAAGACGUUUUUUAAAAGUCGUAUUUGACACGAAUGGCCUUCCAUAACCGUUCCGUUCAGUUGCAUACAAUUCAGACCACCAGGGGUCAGUAUUGAGCUUGUAAUAUAUAUUCUUUUAUUUUUCUUUUUACUGAAAGUUGACCAACUGUGAUAUUUGCUAUUAUGCAGCCCCCCAAAAUGUUCUUUAGAUCGGUGCCAUGGACAGGUUUUUAUCAUCUGACACACCAGACAAAUUUUCGCAAAAUGAGCCAUCAAUCGUGGACUAAUGGUGGCGUCAGGCUGGUGCUUUAGAAUGUCUUCUAAAGCUUUUUAAAGCCUGGGUGCAGCAAUCGUUUAAAUGGACGUUUUAGGGGUCAUUUAUCUUGAAGAUUUAAAUCCAGUCAAAUGUCCACAUUACAGCCACCAUAAAUACACAUGGAGUGAAAGCAGUGCAGAGAUUACGCUUGUGCCAAGACCACUGCUGAGUUUUUAUCCGUUUUAGGGUUCAGAAUGGUGUUAGGAAACAAAGUACAUGGGUUAUACAGGAGAUUAUUCUUUUUAUAUACACUAUAUGGCCAAAGGUUUUGAGACGUCUGUCUUUACAUGUACAUGAAUGUAAUAUGGAUUUCUCCCGCCCUUUGUAGCUAUAACAGCUUCAGCUCUUCUGGGAAGACUUUCCACAACGUUUAGGAGUGUGUUAAUGGGAAUUUUUGACCAUUCCUCUAGAAGCACAUUUGUGAGGUCAGACACUGAUGUUGGACGAGAAGGCCUGGCUCGCAGUCUCCGCCCUAACUUAUCCCAAAGCUUUCUCAGAGAUUUAUCUGGCAUAAGGAGUCUCCAGUGUGUCUCCGGAGUCUCUGUAUCAGCCAGUGGGUGCCAAUAAUUUUGAACCUGCCUGAAUUUUCACUCAGCCUCUUCUGUAUCAGCUUCCCAUGGUGACUCAGUCAGUCUCUCUCUCUCUCUCUGUCUCUCUCUCUCUCUCUAUGACUUUGACUGUUUGUCUGUCUCUCUUUCUGUCUUGCCACCUGUCUAUCUGUCUCCACCUCUCACUCUGCCUAUGCCUCUAUCUGUCUGUAUCUGUCUAUGAUUCUGUCUGUCUGUCUGUCUGUCUGUCUCUCUCUCUCUCUCUCUCUCUCUCUCUCUCUGCCUGCCUGUUAGUCUGUCUUUCUCUCUCUCUCUCUCUCUCUCUCUCUCUCUCUCUCUCUCUCUCUCUCUCUUUAUGACUCUGUCUGUCUGUCUCUCUUUGUCUAUGACUUUGUCUGUCUGUCUCUCUGUCUCUAUCUGUUUGUAUCUGUCUAUGAUUCUGUCUGUCUGUCUGUCUGUCUGUCUGUCUCUCUCUCUCUCUCUCUCUCUGUCUGCAUGUCUGUCUGUCUAUCUGGCUGCCUGUUAGUCUGUCUUUCUCUCUCUCUCUCUCUCUCUCUCUCUCUCUCUCUCACUCUCUCUCUCCUCCUUUGCUGAGCAGAGACGGCCACAUUCAUGAAGACACACAUGCGGAAGGAGGGAGGAGGCAGGAGGUGAUGGGUGAUGCAAAAAAUAUGAAAUUCCUUUGAGAGUAAAAAUACCACACUUCUAAUGAUUUUUUUUUCUCCAAAGAAAGAAUCUUGUCUUCAUUUUUAUUAUUUCUUUAUUUUAG
Molecule: long non-coding RNA, 2672 nt
Organism: Hemibagrus wyckioides
Lineage: Eukaryota; Metazoa; Chordata; Actinopteri; Siluriformes; Bagridae
Exons: 4
Source: RefSeq, a predicted model, not a curated record